UCCUACGGGGGGCGGCAGUCGGGAAUAUGGCACAAUGGGCGAAAGCCUGAUCCAGCCAUGCCGCGUGUGUGAAGAAGGUCUUCGGAUUGUAAAGCACUUUAAGUUGGGAGGAAGGGCAGUUACGUAAUACGUGAUUGUUUUGACGUUACCGACAGAAUAAGCACCGGCUAACUGUGUCCCAGCAGCCGCGGUAAUACAGAGGGCGCAAGCGUUAAUCGGAAUUACUGGGCGUAAAGCGCGUGUAGGUGGUUUGUUAAGUUGGAUGUGAAAGCCCCGGGCUCCACCUGGGAACUGCAUCCAAAAGGGGCAAGCUAGAGUAUGGUAGAGGGUGGUGGAAUUUCCUGUGUAGCGGUGAAAUGCGUAGAUAUAGGAAGGAACACCAGUGGCGAAGGGGUCCACCUGGAGUGAUACUGACAGUGAGGUGAGAAAGCGUGGGGAGCAAACAGGAUUAGAUCCCCGGGGAGUCCACGCUGUAAACGAUGUCAAUUANCCGUUUGGAGCCCUGAGCUUCUAGUGGCGCAGCUAACGCAUAAUUGNCCNGCCUG
Molecule: ribosomal RNA, 545 nt
Filed under: Pseudomonas sp. JS2318
Lineage: Bacteria; Pseudomonadati; Pseudomonadota; Gammaproteobacteria; Pseudomonadales; Pseudomonadaceae
Description: bacterial SSU rRNA
Rfam family: Bacterial small subunit ribosomal RNA
Source: RNAcentral